Molecule: long non-coding RNA, 268 nt
Filed under: Helianthus annuus (common sunflower)
Lineage: Eukaryota; Viridiplantae; Streptophyta; Magnoliopsida; Asterales; Asteraceae
Description: hypothetical non coding rna
Source: RNAcentral
UUUUAUGUUCCCAUGGCUUACAUCUGGCAUUUAUGUGAAUUAAAUUCACAAGUUUUCCUCUAAUGCGAUGGUGAUGAAUGAUGUUUGUCAAACUGCACUUUAUGUGGCAAGAGUCGAUGGAUAUAGUCAUGCUGGUCAUGCAAUUGAGGUACACAUGUAGUUUAUUUCACACAUGACUUUGAUGGAUACAUUUUUUCUCAUUUUUUGAUAUGUCAUCAUCUUAUGUUUGGUUUGUAAUGCAAUUAUUGUAGAACCAUAUAGCUUUUAC